RNAcentral lists this ribosomal RNA (352 nucleotides) under uncultured bacterium. RNAcentral describes it as "partial 16S ribosomal RNA". It matches the Rfam family "Bacterial small subunit ribosomal RNA", at positions 338 to 682 of the family's 1533-position model. The record is from RNAcentral.
CCUACGGGCGGCAGCAGUGGGGAAUAUUGCGCAAUGGGCGAAAGCCUGACGCAGCGACGCCGCGUGAGGGAUGAAGGUCUUCGGAUCGUAAACCUCUGUCAGCAGGGAAGAACGGUCAGGGGGAUAAUCAGCAGUGAAUGGACGGUACCUGCAAAGGAAGCACCGGCUAACUCCGUGCCAGCAGCCGCGGUAAUACGGAGGGUGCGCGCGUUAAUCGGAAGGACUGGGCGUAACGCGCUCGUCGGCGGUAUGUCAAGUCAAGGGUGAAAUCCCCGCGCUCAACGUGGGAACUGCCUUUGAAACUGGCAAACUGGAGUGUGUGAGAGGUUAGUGGAAUUCCCGGUGUAGGCGU